Panicum hallii is the source of this 409-nucleotide long non-coding RNA. RefSeq lists it as uncharacterized. The record is from RefSeq and is a predicted model, not a curated record. The transcript has 3 exons. NCBI's taxonomy places the organism in Eukaryota, Viridiplantae, Streptophyta, Magnoliopsida, Poales, Poaceae.
GAAUCAGUAGUCCAUGAAGUACAAAUGGUAGAUUCAUCCUGUCCCUUCAAAUAUAUCCAUCUAAAUUGGAAGUGUCUUGUCCAUCAACGAGUGUCUGAAAGGGUGUGAGUGCAUCUCUGAACUUGUUAAUCAACAAAUAUCUGAAAGGCUGCAAGCCUGACCAUUCUGAAACCACAUGCACGAGUGUAUCAAAAUGAGAUGCACAUGUAACAGCAGCUAAUUUAAAGCUUCUAUUGGCAGCAUUCUUUAUUUGAAGCUUCUUGACAUAAUCAUUGGUGUUCAGAUGUUGGAAGAGGUGUGCACACUAAAAGUGGUGUCACGUUAUAACAAACCUAAGAAGGUGCACACAAAUAAGGUUGUCUCACAAGGUAAUAAGUGCAUACAUCAACCUUAUUUGGGCUGAAGAGCA